This 235-nucleotide long non-coding RNA is filed under the name Gossypium raimondii (Peruvian cotton). RNAcentral describes it as "long non-coding RNA (GRAI_LNC004387)". Lineage: Eukaryota; Viridiplantae; Streptophyta; Magnoliopsida; Malvales; Malvaceae. The record is from RNAcentral.
AAGGUUGUACGGAGGCGGUGUGUGGAGGCCACUGUUGCGGUGGCUGGAGGGCAAUGAUGCUUGGGUUUUUUGAAAUUGUUUUGGGUUGUAUUAGGCUGAGUUGGUUUGUUGGGCUUAGAACCGGGUCUAGGGAAGGUUUUGGGCUAGGUUGAUUUGGGCUGAUGUAAUCGGAUUGUUUAUUUGCAAAUGGACUUUUAAUAUUUUUGUUUUUAUUAUUUAUAUUGGGCCGGGCAAU